Molecule: ribosomal RNA, 460 nt
Filed under: uncultured bacterium
Lineage: Bacteria
Description: partial 16S ribosomal RNA
Rfam family: Bacterial small subunit ribosomal RNA
Source: RNAcentral
CCUACGGGAGGCAGCAGUGAGGAAUAUUGGUCAAUGGACUAGAGUCUGACCCAGCCAAGUAGCGUGAAGGAUGACUGCCCUAUGGGUUGUAAACUUCUUUUAUCUGGGAAUAACAUGUUCCACGUGUGGGAUUUUGUAUGUACCAUAUGAAUAAGGCUCGGCUAACUCCGUGCCAGCAGCCGCGGUAAUACGGAGGAUCUGAGCGUUAUCCGGAUUUAUUGGGUGUAAAGGGAGCGGAGGUGGAUUGUUAAGUCAGUUGUGAAAGUUUGCGGCUCAACCGUAAAAUUGCAGUUGAAACUGGCAGUCUUGAGUACAGUAGAGGUGGGCGGAAUUCGUGGUGUAGCGGUGAAAUGCUUAGAUAUCACGAAGAACGCCGAUUGCGAAGGCAGCUCACUGGACUGCAACUGACACUGAGGCUCGAAAGUGUGGGGAGCAAACAGGAUUAGAUACCCCUGUAGUC